UCCCGGCCUUGAUAACAUCCGCCAGUACCUGCCCUUAAGACUGGGAUAAUCCGGGAAACGGGGCUAAUACCGGAUAACAUUUUGAACCCGCAUGGUUCGAAAUUGAAAGGCGGCUUCCGCUGUCACUUAUGGAUGGACCCGCGUCGCAUUAUCUAGUUGGUGAGGUAACGGCUCACCAAGGCAACGAUGCGUAGCCGACCUGAGAGGGGUGAUCGGCCACACUGGGACUGAGACACGGCCCAGACUCCUACGGGAGGCAGCAGUAGGGAAUCUUCCGCAAUGGACGAAAGUCUGACGGAGCAACGCCGCGUGAGUGAUGAAGGCUUCGGGGUCGUAAAACUCUGUUGUUAGGGAAGAACAAGUGCUAGUUGAAUAAGCUGGCACCUUGACGGUACCUAACCAUAUAGCCACGGCUUACUACGUGCCAGCAGCCGCGGGUAUUACGUAAGG
Molecule: ribosomal RNA, 450 nt
Filed under: Bacillus anthracis (anthrax bacterium)
Lineage: Bacteria; Bacillati; Bacillota; Bacilli; Caryophanales; Bacillaceae
Description: bacterial SSU rRNA
Rfam family: Bacterial small subunit ribosomal RNA
Source: RNAcentral